ACAUUUGUACUCCCAUAAUAUUCUGAAAAAAAAAAUAUUCAAAGCAUGAGGAGCUUUGACAAGCCAUCCCUGGCUUUAACGAUAGUGAGGACCAUGUGCCAAGGAAUGCUUGUGGCCUUCAGAAGCUUAGAGUACCCCCUGGGUGACAGCUAGCAAGGAAUGAGGACCUCAGUUCUACCACUGCAAGAACUGAAUUCUGCCAACAACCUGAAUGAGUUUGGAGCAUAUUCACUCCCAGAGCUUCGCCCAGCUUGCCAACACCUUGAUUUUGGCCUUAUGACGCCCCAAGCUGAGAAACCAGGUUGGCCUUACAGGAAAUAAAAUUGUGGGCCUAUUUGGAUUCUUACAAAGCUGAAAAUAUACCUGUCCAGGCCAGUGCCAAUUUCUUGUUACUGCCUCUAGGACCAAGCUGUAGUCCCAAACAGACUACUCAAGAUCUGCUUCCAACAAGCUUGCUGCAGAGCCUAGUUCCAAUAUAAAAUUUCUGGAAUACAAAGCAGUAAUUUAAGAAACACCAUAAAAAGCAUCCUGAGACUUGUACCAGUGAGAAUCCAGCAGGUUUCCUUUGCCUGGGAAAUGCUGACUGCUGCCUCACUUAAGCUCCCUCACCAGAAAGGCACAGCCACUAAUGCUCAGAGCUGGGACCGUUCUCCUUCCUGUCUCCCGCCCCAGUCCCCUGCUGGGUGUCUGCACUCCACUCCACCAUACAUUGACCAGAGUGACCCUGAAGGCCCCUUUGGCUACCACAUGGAAGCUACUGCUACCACAUGAAAACGGCCUGCAAUGUGAGCACCACUCCUUCCAGGGUUUUUAAAAUUUCAAAUAAACAAUUUCCUUGUU
Molecule: long non-coding RNA, 840 nt
Organism: Lemur catta (Ring-tailed lemur)
Lineage: Eukaryota; Metazoa; Chordata; Mammalia; Primates; Lemuridae
Exons: 2
Source: RefSeq, a predicted model, not a curated record